CGUCGCAUUGUCAGAUGGAGUAUUUUGUCCCUCUAAUCUUCUUUCUUCUGAGAUCAAGUUGCAUGUUGCUUCUACGACACUCACAGUUUCUUUCCCAUACAACAAGAUUGGCUUGAUAUGUUCAUAGUUAGACGACUUUUUGAUUUGAGAGACUUUACGUUUGAUAUAGUUCUUAUAACUUCUCCCAUGGUUCCUUUGCAGCAGAUAUUCCAUGAAUAUUUGCAAGAACAUUUUUAGCCAGUCAGAGACGUAUCAUGCUUGCAGCCUUCAAAUCCAAUUCUUCCCAAUCUUCAUCCCUUAUACUGGAUUCAGCUUUCUUGUCAGAACUCUUGGUUGGGUUUCCUUUCAAACCCUUGUACAGUCCAACUUGAACUAAUAAAUCCCUAACUUGUACUUACCACAAGCCAAAAUUGAUUCUCCCAUCAAAUUUCUCCACGUUAUAUUUCAGCAAUGGCAUAUUUUUCUAUUGAUCCAAUACUCUGAACCACCUGACGCUUUGAUACC
This 504-nucleotide long non-coding RNA is filed under the name Olea europaea subsp. europaea. The record is from RNAcentral. Lineage: Eukaryota; Viridiplantae; Streptophyta; Magnoliopsida; Lamiales; Oleaceae.